RNAcentral lists this long non-coding RNA (251 nucleotides) under Mytilus galloprovincialis (Mediterranean mussel). Lineage: Eukaryota; Metazoa; Mollusca; Bivalvia; Mytilida; Mytilidae. The record is from RNAcentral.
UUUAGAUCGAAGCGAUUCGAUGAAAUUUUAUAGCAGUUAUCUACCUUUACAAAAUAAAUUUGUCGGUAUGUUUUUUUAACUCAUAAACCGUUAACUGUAUAACCCUGGAAUGUUUUAAUUUGAGUCCCCUAGGUCCUAACUUAGAAAAUGAGGUCAAGGUCAAAGGUCAAGGUCAAGUUCUCAAUUGUGACUUUUGCUUGUUUUUGCAUUUUCUCUGACACUUUGAAAGAUACUUAUAAAAGAACAAGUGC